This 1429-nucleotide ribosomal RNA is filed under the name Rheinheimera nanhaiensis. RNAcentral's name for it is "bacterial SSU rRNA". It matches the Rfam family "Bacterial small subunit ribosomal RNA". The record is from RNAcentral. Lineage: Bacteria; Pseudomonadati; Pseudomonadota; Gammaproteobacteria; Chromatiales; Chromatiaceae.
UGCAUUGCGGAGCUACAAUGCAGUCGAGCGGGACUUCGGUUCUUCGUUGGACGGGUGAGUAAUGUAUAGGGAGCUGCCCGACAGAGGGGGAUGCCUGUUGGAAACGACUGUUAAUACCGCAUAACGUCUACGGACCAAAGUAUGGGACCUUCGGGCCAUAUGCUGUCGGAUGCACCUAUCUGGUAUUACCUAGUUGGUGGGGUAACGGCUCACCACUGCGACGAUCCCUAACUGGUUUGAGAGGAUGAUCAGCCACACUGAAACUGAAACACGGUCCACACUCCUACGGGAGGCACCAGUGGGGAAUAUUGGACAAUGGGCGCAAGCCUGAUCCAUCCAUGCCGCGUGUGUGAAGAAGGCCUUCGGGUUGUAAAGCACUUUCAGCGAUGAGGAACGGGUGUGUGUUAAUAUCACAUAUUUUCGACGUUACUUGCAGAAGAAGCACCGGUUAACUCCGUCACCAGCAGCCGCGAUAAUACAGAGGGCGCAAGCGUUUAUCGGAUAUUAAUGGGCGUAAAGCGCACGUAGGCGGUGUGGUACGUUUGAUGGGAAAGCCCCGGUCUCAACCUGAGGAAUUGCAUUCAAAAGUGGCACGCUAGAGUAUGUGAGAGGUGGGUAGAAUUUCAAGUGUAUCGAUGAAAUGAGGAGAGAUUUGGAGGAAUCCCAGUGGCGAAUGCGGCCCCUUGGCACAAUACUGACGCUCAGGUGGUAAAGCGUGCGGAGCAAACAAGAUUAGAUACCCUGGUAAUCCACGCCGUAUACGAUGUCUCCUAGCUGUUCGUGGUCUUGUACUGUGAGUAGCGCAUCUAACGCACUAAUUACACCGCCUGGGGAGUACGGUCGCAAGAUUAAAACUCAGAUGAAUUGACGGGGGCCCGCACAAGGCUGUGGAUCAUGUGGUUUAAUUCGACGCAACGCAAAAAAUCCUUAUCCUACUCUUGACAUCUAGCGAACAUUGCAGAGAUGCGAAUUGUGCCUGUCGAGAACUUCUAAKACAGGUGCUGCAUGGCUGUCGUCAGCUCGUGUUGUGAAAUGUUGGGUUAAGUCCCGCAACGAGCGCAACCCUUAUCCUUAGUUGCCAGCACGUAAGGGUGGGAACUUUAGGGAGACUGCCGGUGAUAAACCGAAGGAAGGUGGGGACGACGUCAAGUCAUCAUGGCCCUUACGAGUAGGGCUACACACGUGCUACAAUGGUACGUACAGAGGGAGGCAAGCUGGCGACAGUGAGCGGAUCUAUUAAAGCGUAUUCUAGUCCGGAUCGCAGUCUGCAACUCGACUGCGUGAAGUCGGAAUCGCUAGUAAUCGCAAAUCAGAAUGUUGCGGUGAAUACGUUCCCGGGCCUUGUACACACCGCCCGUCACACCAUGGAGUGGGUCCAAAAGAAGUAGGUAGCUUAACCUUCGGGAGGGCGCUACCACGUGAUCUGUCG